GACGAACGCUGGCGGCGUGCUUAACACAUGCAAGUCGAGCGAGGCCCCUCCUUCGGGAGGGUGUCCUAGCGGCGAACGGGUGAGUAACACGUGGGCAUCCUGCCCUCAGCUCUGGGAUAACUCCGGGAAACCGGGGCUAAUACCGGAUACGACCUCCACGGGCAUCUGCGGAGGUGGAAAGUUUUUCGGCUGAGGAUGGGCCCGCGGCCUAUCAGCUAGUUGGUGGGGUAGUGGCCCACCAAGGCGACGACGGGUAGCCGGCCUGAGAGGGCGACCGGCCACACUGGGACUGAGACACGGCCCAGACUCCUACGGGAGGCAGCAGUGGGGAAUAUUGCGCAAUGGGCGAAAGCCUGACGCAGCGACGCCGCGUGAGGGACGAAGGCCUUCGGGUUGUAAACCUCUUUCAGCAGGGACGAAGCGAAAGUGACGGUACCUGCAGAAGAAGCACCGGCCAACUACGUG
This 465-nucleotide ribosomal RNA is filed under the name uncultured bacterium. Its description in RNAcentral is "partial 16S ribosomal RNA". It matches the Rfam family "Bacterial small subunit ribosomal RNA", at positions 28 to 507 of the family's 1533-position model. The record is from RNAcentral.